Molecule: ribosomal RNA, 369 nt
Filed under: Triticum aestivum (bread wheat)
Lineage: Eukaryota; Viridiplantae; Streptophyta; Magnoliopsida; Poales; Poaceae
Description: partial small subunit ribosomal RNA
Source: RNAcentral
AUGGCGUCGACCUCUAGCUUGGAUUUGGGAAAGAUUGUGCCGCCGGCCGGCUUCCUCCACUGCCGCGCCGCCGUCCUCAGCGCCCCUGUUCUCUGGGGGAGGAGCGCGAGCGGGCGGUGCAGCCUCGCCGUCUCGGUCUCGUCCUCCAAUGGUGCAGCUGGGCUCUCCCCACUGAGUGACUCGGAGAAGAAAGGUCCUGUGGUGAUGGAGAUCCCGCUGGAAGAUAUCCGGAGGCCGCUAAUGCGAACGCGUGCUAAUGAUUCUGAUAAGGUGCAGGAGCUCAUGGACAGCAUCCGUGUCAUCAGCCUCCAAGUACCUGUGGGCUUCCUUUCCUUUAACAUUAAUUUUUCCAAAAUUAUUUUCUUUUAG